Molecule: long non-coding RNA, 232 nt
Filed under: Cervus elaphus hippelaphus
Lineage: Eukaryota; Metazoa; Chordata; Mammalia; Artiodactyla; Cervidae
Rfam family: 7SK RNA
About the family: 7SK was discovered as an abundant small nuclear RNA in the mid-70s but a possible function has only recently been suggested. Two independent studies have found that 7SK RNA binds the CDK9/cyclin T complex (known as elongation factor P-TEFb). P-TEFb activates transcription by phosphorylating the C-terminal domain of RNA polymerase II.
Source: RNAcentral
GGAUGUGAGGGCGAUCUGAUUGAGACAUCUGUCACCCCAUUGAUCGCCAGAGUUGAUUCGGCUGAUCUGGCAGGCUAGGCAGGUGUCCCCUUCCUCCGUCACUGCUCCAUAUGUGUCCCUCCCAAAGCUGCAUGCUCAGUCAAAGAGGAUGACCAUCCUGGAUAGAGGAGGACUGACCCUCCAUCAAGGGUAUAUGCAUUCCCCUGCUAGAACCUUCAAACAAGCUCUCAAG